GGAGCAUUUUAAUGUGGUAUUUUAAUAGUUAAUUCCUCACAUUUUGCUUAGUUAAUUCCUUAACGAAUCGAUUUUUAACUUAAUUUCUAUUUUUUUUAGGUACAUUGGAGUAGAUGAUGAUGAAAUGAGCAUUAGGUCCAUAAUUACCUAUAAAUGAUGGAGAAAAAUGGAAAUGUACUAAAAGGUCAAUUUUACACAUUUUCCUACUCCGGCUAGGAGAAACCAAGCCAAGCAAGGAAGAAGGAGCGGCCGCCUGACCAACUGAACUCGAAAUGAGUUGAAACUUUCCAGAUCCAUUCUAGACAUCCUAAGGAUCGUUUCUUAUGAAGAGUGCCAGAGCUAGAAUUGAGUGGAAAGCCUUCAAACAGUCAGCCCAAUUUCCUGCAGAAGCAAAACUGGAAAACUGGACCCGUAAGGAGUCCAGCAGAGAUUCUGGCCCAAAGGCAUGGAAAUAAAUUCUGAAAUUUUACCAAAAUGAUCUACACUCAUGGUAGAUCAUUUCAUAUGAAGAAGUCAAGAGCCAAAACUGAAUUCCUGUUGGAGAAAUAAUUGAAGGAAUAAAGGGGCAGAAACUGACCUAAAACCAGCUCAAUAUUCACAUGUUCAUGUUUCCUACCCACAUGAAGAAAGCUAGAUGCUUUUCUCUUUUUCCUUGGAUAUAUUUUUCUGCUCCAAUAGAUCAUCAUCACUUCCAUACUUCUGCACCUUCAUGCCUUGCUUUCAUUUCAUCAUUACUCCAUCUUUUCCAUAUUUUACAAACCACUUUCAUUAUUUUUCUUCCAUUUAUCAUUUCACUCUUCUUUUUCUUCCCUAUAUAAACACCUUCUCCUCUCACUCUAAAUACAUUCCUUCAUCCAUUCCAUCUUCUUUGUCUCUCCAUUUCCUUUCCAUUUUCCUUUCCAUCCUCUAGUUUCAAGUUUAGUCAUCUCCAUGAGUUCAAGCAAGGCCAAAGAAGAAGAAGAGAAGCCGUGAGCACUUCCAUCCAUAGCCAUCCUUGAAGCUUGCUUUCGAGUUUCAAGAAUCCACAACGUGAAUCAUCCAUCUCAUCUUCAUCCACGGUGUGUACCCUCAAUCCCCGGAAUAGAACGAUCCCUAUUUGCUUAUACUACUAACGAUGUUUUCAGGGUUAAAUUAUGCGCUUGCUUUGAGCGUAUCAGAGAUGAAGUUGUAGCUAGGCCUUUACUAUCGGGCCUAGGGCUGGCUUUCUCUAGAGUCAUUUGGGCCACUAUUUAGUUAGUUAUUUCUUUCUAAUAAUUUCCUAUUUUUUUAGGGACCUAUGAGCACUAGUUAUAUAAUGAGUGGUCUAUCGCUAUGUAUCACUGUGGUACACCUACAACCUCUUGCAUGUCUUGCCUGUCUAGCCAUUGGCAGUGGAGGGAUGCCCGUACUGAAAGUGGUCAUGGUGUUCCAAAGUCGGUCCAACAUAAUGUUGCUUAGCUUGGAGAGAGACACAUAUUUACUAAUUGUUUCGAGUUGGAAAAAAAGCGCAAGCAGCAAUAUAAUAGGCAAUGCAUAGCUUAGAAUUUUGCGAAUUGCCUCAUCGAAA
Rosa rugosa (rugosa rose) is the source of this 1546-nucleotide long non-coding RNA. RefSeq lists it as uncharacterized. The transcript has 3 exons. The record is from RefSeq and is a predicted model, not a curated record. Lineage: Eukaryota; Viridiplantae; Streptophyta; Magnoliopsida; Rosales; Rosaceae.